UAUUCCAAGCAGCUGGGAUACCUGUGUCACUCCUGCUGUCUGCCAGUGACUGCCCAGGUGUCCGCUGGUUCCUCCCCAGGAGUAGGGAGGAACCAGGUGGGCUGGCUGGGAUGGGUGGAUAUUUAAAGACCAGGCCUUGGACGCUGCAGCACUUGUAUCUCUGCUUGAGGCCUGCUGCCAUGUGGCUGGUCCUCCUCCUCCUGCCGUGACUGAGCCCCGGGAUGAAGACAGGCUGGAGUGCAGUGGCAUGAUCUCAGCUCACUGCGACCUCUGUCUCCUGGGAUCAAGAGAUUCUCGUGCCUCAGCCUCCCGAGUAGCUGGGACUACAGGCAGCUGCUCCCAACCCCAGCAACUUUGCUAUCUUAGAACGGAUCACCAGUGAAAGAGGGGAAGUUGCUACUGUGAUGAAUUCUGCCAUGUGGUACCAGACUGCUGCCCAGACCACAGUGUCCUCUGCAACCCUGGUAACUCACAUACAGGCCUGAUUCCACCUACAGCAAAGCUGGAUGCUAUGGUUGGCAGAGGCAAGCCCCUUGCCUGCACUUCAGGCCAAAGCCGGGAUGUGGCCUAGAUGGUUCCUAAGGUCCCUGACAGUCCUGAGAUCUUUCAUCUUGUCUAUUUCAGGUCAAAGCUUCUCAGAUGACCAAGAUGGUGCUGCCGAUGGUGUUGAGGACGGAGAACCCACCAAGCCC
This 692-nucleotide long non-coding RNA is filed under the name Pongo abelii (Sumatran orangutan). Its description in RNAcentral is "lincRNA". Lineage: Eukaryota; Metazoa; Chordata; Mammalia; Primates; Hominidae. The record is from RNAcentral.